This 497-nucleotide ribosomal RNA is filed under the name uncultured bacterium. RNAcentral's name for it is "partial 16S ribosomal RNA". It matches the Rfam family "Bacterial small subunit ribosomal RNA", at positions 28 to 507 of the family's 1533-position model. The record is from RNAcentral.
GAUGAACGCUGGCGGCGUGCCUAAUACAUGCAAGUCGAGCGAACGGACGAGAAGCUUGCUUCUCUGAUGUUAGCGGCGGACGGGUGAGUAACACGUGGAUAACCUACCUAUAAGACUGAGAUAACUUCGGGAAACCGGAGCUAAUACCGGAUGAUAUUUUGAACCGCAUGGUUCAAAAGUGAAAGACGGUCUUGCUGUCACUUAUAGAUGGAUCCGCGCUGCAUUAGCUAGUUGGUAAGGUAACGGCUUACCAAGGCAACGAUGCAUAGCCGACCUGAGAGGGUGAUCGGCCACACUGGAACUGAGACACGGUCCAGACUCCUACGGGAGGCAGCAGUAGGGAAUCUUCCGCAAAGGGCGAAAGCCUGACGGAGCAACGCCGAGUGAGUGAUGAAGGUCUUCGGAUCGUAAAACUCUGUUAUUAGGGAAGAACAUAUGUGUAAGUAACUGUGCACAUCUUGACGGUACCUAAUCAGAAAGCCACGGCUAACUACGUG